This 353-nucleotide ribosomal RNA is filed under the name uncultured Desulfobulbus sp. Its description in RNAcentral is "bacterial SSU rRNA". It matches the Rfam family "Bacterial small subunit ribosomal RNA", at positions 1029 to 1382 of the family's 1533-position model. Lineage: Bacteria; Pseudomonadati; Thermodesulfobacteriota; Desulfobulbia; Desulfobulbales; Desulfobulbaceae. The record is from RNAcentral.
GGAGGACAGGUGCUGCAUGGCCGUCGUCAGCUCGUGUCGUGAGAUGUUGGGUUAAGUCCCGCAACGAGCGCAACCCUUGCCUUUAGUUGCCAGCAGUUCGGCUGGGCACUCUAAAGGGACUGCCGGUGUUAAACCGGAGGAAGGUGGGGAUGACGUCAAGUCCUCAUGGCCUUUAUGACCAGGGCUACACACGUACUACAAUGGCCGAUACAAAGGGCAGCGACACUGCGAGGUGAAGCCAAUCCCGUAAAAUCGGUCUCAGUCCGGAUUGGAGUCUGCAACUCGACUCCAUGAAGUUGGAAUCGCUAGUAAUCGUGGAUCAGCAUGCCACGGUGAAUACGUUCCCGGGCCUU